RNAcentral lists this ribosomal RNA (787 nucleotides) under uncultured Neocallimastigales. RNAcentral's name for it is "partial large subunit ribosomal RNA". It matches the Rfam family "Eukaryotic large subunit ribosomal RNA", at positions 22 to 629 of the family's 3401-position model. The record is from RNAcentral. Lineage: Eukaryota; Fungi; Neocallimastigomycota; Neocallimastigomycetes; Neocallimastigales.
CAUAGCGACUAUCGUGGCAUAUCAAUAAGCGGAGGAAAAGAAACUAACAAGGAUUCCCCUAGUAACGGCGAGUGAAGCGGGAAGAGCUCAAAUUUGAAAUCUUAAAGGUUUGCCCUUGACGAAUUGUAGUUUAAAGAAGUGUUUUCGGUUAGAGGAGUUCGGUAAAAGUUCUUUGGAAUAGGACAUCAUAGAGGGUGAGAAUCCCGUAUUUGACCGUUACUUUCCAGCUGUGUGAUACACUUUCAAAGAGUCGGAUUGUUUGGGAAUGCAGUCCAAAAUGGGUGGUAAAUUUCAUCUAAAGCUAAAUAUUGGCGAGAGACCGAUAGCGAACAAGUACCGUGAGGGAAAGAUGAAAAGAACUUUGAAAAGAGAGUUAAACAGUACGUGAAAUUGUCAAAAGGGAAGCGUCUGACACCAGUGUUGUUUAGUUCGAAAAUCAAUUCAAUAAUUUUGAUUAUGUAGGUAGUAUUGACUUCAUCAGCUUGCAUGCUUUCGUUUUCGGAUAUUAUUGAUGCACUUUUCAGGUUAACAAGUCAACAGUCAAUUUCCUUUGUUGUAAAAGGGUAAGAGGAAGGUGGCUUACACUUCGGCUGUAAGUGUUUAUAGCCUUUUAUCCUCUGCAGUCGGAGAGAUUGAGGUCAGCAGCGUAGACUCCUUCGGGGUUAGAUACACUUUAUGUUAAGCUAUAGCCUUGUAUAGACAACUUGUUGACUAUGCUCAGUCAUGUAGCUUACUCGCUAUGUGCUAUUUUACCUACGCUUAGGAUGUUGAUAGUCACAGCGUGUAC